Long non-coding RNA from Esox lucius (northern pike), 1010 nucleotides. Lineage: Eukaryota; Metazoa; Chordata; Actinopteri; Esociformes; Esocidae. The record is from Ensembl.
GUAAAGGUGAUGGACUGGCCAAGCAUGUCUCCAGACCUUAACCCUAUUCAGCAUCUGUGGAGCAUUUUCAAACUGAAGGUGGAGGAGCGCAAAAUCUCUAACAUCCACCAGCUCCGUGAUGUCGUCAUGGAGGAGUGGAAGAGGACUCCUUUAAGCCUAUAAAAUCAGAGCAAUCUCUCCACUUGGCACUAGAAAUACCUGAUCAUAACAACAAUCAAGCCCUCCACUGCACUGAAGAACAACACAGACACAGCAGCAAUGGGAAGUAGUAGUAGCCACGUUGACAGCCACAAUGACAACAGUGGCAAGGGUAAUAACAUUGGGUCCAACAAUUCAAUCGGUGGCUCUGUUAACAUUGACCGUCAUGCUCAACCUAACUGUCAAUCUGGAGCAAACACUGCCGCACCCUGCAUCACCAUAGCGAACGCAACAAACUCCCCUAUUCGUCUCUACUACAAGCCGGGACUAAUGGAUAACAAAGACCUCAUAGACGGGAAUGAACUUAAGGAGGGCGAAUCCAUUCUCAUCUCGGCACACUCCCUUUACAAAACCCCCAUGUCUCAGAAUCUCUACGUCACUGGCUUUAAAGUAAAAAGCGACCAAACACAUUGCUGCCCUGAGAAAUCUCCAAUGUGUGGGCUAAAAAAUCGACUUGCAGAAUUUAAUGAUGGUAAUCCCAAGUCGUACAUCAUCACUGACAAACAAGAGGUGAAGUUCACCCUUAACGGAGAGAUCUGGGUGGAUGAGGAAGGGUUAGACCACACCCCCAAAAAGUAAAGUAAUGUAUUUUAACACACAUUGCACUUCCAGAUUCACACUAGGUGUAUACUUUAUUUUCUUUUCUUCUACCACUGAAUUUGCUAAUAGCUAGUUUGUUCAAAAAAAGUGUACUCAUUAUCGAUGUGUUGUGUGGUUGUCACACCUAGCUAUAUUAGGAUGAAUGCCUCCAUUGAAAGUUACUCUGGAAAAUUCUAAUAAAUAUUUGAAAACUAAACAUUUAGUAUGUGUCC